Molecule: ribosomal RNA, 1000 nt
Filed under: uncultured bacterium
Lineage: Bacteria
Description: partial 16S ribosomal RNA
Rfam family: Bacterial small subunit ribosomal RNA
Source: RNAcentral
AGAGUUUGAUUAUGGCUCAAAUUGAACGCUGGCGGCAUGCUUUACACAUGCAAGUCGAACGGUAACAGGGGAGCUUGCUCCCGCUGACGAGUGGCGAACGGGUGAGUAAUGCAUCGGAACGUACCGAGUAAUGGGGGAUAACUAUCCGAAAGGAUGGCUAAUACCGCAUACGAUCUUAGGAUGAAAGUGGGGGACCUUCGGGCCUCACGUUAUUCGAGCGGCCGAUGCCUGAUUAGCUAGUUGGUAGGGUAAAAGCCUACCAAGGCUACGAUCAGUAGCGGGUCUGAGAGGAUGAUCCGCCACACUGGGACUGAGACACGGCCCAGACUCCUACGGGAGGCAGCAGUGGGGAAUUUUGGACAAUGGGGGCAACCCUGAUCCAGCCAUGCCGCGUGUCUGAAGAAGGCCUUCGGGUUGUAAAGGACUUUUGUUAGGGAGGAAAAUUUAUCCAUUAAUACUGGGUAAAGCUGACAGUACCUAAAGAAUAAGCACCGGCUAACUACGUGCCAGCAGCCGCGGUAAUACGUAGGGUGCAAGCGUUAAUCGGAAUUACUGGGCGUAAAGCGAGCGCAGGCGGUUUGUUAAGUCAGAUGUGAAAGCCCCGAGCUCAACUUGGGAAUUGCGUUUGAAACUGGCAAGCUAGAGUGUGUCAGAGGGGGGUAGAAUUCCACGUGUAGCAGUGAAAUGCGUAGAGAUGUGGAGGAAUACCGAUGGCGAAGGCAGCCCCCUGGGAUAACACUGACGCUCAUGCUCGAAAGCGUGGGUAGCAAACAGGAUUAGAUACCCUGGUAGUCCACGCCCUAAACGAUGACAAUUAGCUGUUGGGGAAUUGAAAGUCCUUGGUAGCGUAGCUAACGCGUGAAAUUGUCCGCCUGGGGAGUACGGUCGCAAGAUUAAAACUCAAAGGAAUUGACGGGGACCCGCACAAGCGGUGGAUGAUGUGGAUUAAUUCGAUGCAACGCGAAAACCUUACCUAGCUUGACAUGUAUGGACGCUCGAU